This is a long non-coding RNA of Rhinichthys klamathensis goyatoka, 402 nucleotides long. RefSeq lists it as uncharacterized. The record is from RefSeq and is a predicted model, not a curated record. NCBI's taxonomy places the organism in Eukaryota, Metazoa, Chordata, Actinopteri, Cypriniformes, Leuciscidae. The transcript has 2 exons.
GUGAACACACCACUCACACUACAAAAUGGUAUCGAAUAGUACAAAAGUACUUGUCUUUACUGUAGGAAAUGGACAACCAGUUGACUAACUGGGGUUAAUGUUUUACACGCUCGACUAUGAUCUUUAGCAUUAUCUGUUGCUUAUUGAAGUUGUGGACCAUCAAGCUGUUUAUUAACUUUACAGACAAUGAUAAAACUGGAUAAAGGAAUUUCAUUUUGUCCCGAAUGACUGCAGCAGCUUGUUCAAAACCCCUCCGAAAAAAAAAAGCACGCACAAAGAAAACAGAGAUUCAUAUCGUUUAUUUUUUUUCUGGCAUGUAAAGUACAAAUAAUUAAACAAUUCCAUGAAAAAGUCCUCAAGCGUCUUCAGCUGAAAUCCCAGUAAUAAAUAUCCUAAACUAAA